This is a long non-coding RNA of Hemicordylus capensis (graceful crag lizard), 420 nucleotides long. RefSeq lists it as uncharacterized. The record is from RefSeq and is a predicted model, not a curated record. NCBI's taxonomy places the organism in Eukaryota, Metazoa, Chordata, Lepidosauria, Squamata, Cordylidae. The transcript is spliced from 3 exons.
UCACAUCCCAGGUCCUUCUCAGGUGUCAGAAGCCCCGCCUCAUCACCAUCGAGCAUGUUGGCUGCUACAACAGUAUCUCCUGGCCCCUGCUGUUGCUCGGCCUCCUCCUAUCACUUGACUAGCACCAUUCACUCUGGCCAGGCCUUUGAGGCAUGUCAGGACCCCACAUGACUCCUACAUCUCUAGAUGUUGCUUCCCUUUUUCUGGUUCGAACCAACACAUGAGGACAAUCCAGUUAACUAAUCUCCAGUGACCGCAACUGUAGUCCUGAAAUACUAAGCUCAAGGUACUAUGUGCUGUGAUAAUAUACUACUGAAGAUGAAAUUGCUAAGUCUCACAUGUGAGAAAUAAGAGACACUUUGCCUGGCAACAGAAAAUUCUAAAUUCAACUUUUGAUGGUACUACAAUGCAAUUGUGCCC